GACGAACGCUGGCGGCGUGCUUAACACAUGCAAGUCGAACGAAGUGGCGAACGGGUGAGUAACGCGUAAUCAACCUGCCCUUCAGAGGGGGACAACAGUUGGAAACGACUGCUAAUACCGCAUACUGAAGGAGGGGAUUGCGUCUGAUUAGCGAGUUGGCGGGGUAACGGCCCACCAAGGCGAUGAUCAGGAGCCGGUCUGAUGUGAGGAAUGGCCAACGUGGGACUGAGAAACGGCCCAGACUCCUACGGGAGGCAGCAGUGGGGAAUCGUCCGCAAUGGACGAAAGUCUGACGGAGCAACGCCGCGUGAGUGAUGACGGCCUUCGGGUUGUAAAGCUCUGUUAAUCGGGACGCGGUACCGGAAUAGAAAGCCACGGCUAACUACGUGCCAGCAGCCGCGGUAAUUC
Molecule: ribosomal RNA, 408 nt
Filed under: uncultured bacterium
Lineage: Bacteria
Description: partial 16S ribosomal RNA
Rfam family: Bacterial small subunit ribosomal RNA
Source: RNAcentral